This 438-nucleotide ribosomal RNA is filed under the name uncultured bacterium. Its description in RNAcentral is "bacterial SSU rRNA". It matches the Rfam family "Bacterial small subunit ribosomal RNA", at positions 954 to 1392 of the family's 1533-position model. The record is from RNAcentral.
GCAUAACGCGAAGAACCUUACCUGGUCUUGACAUCCACGGAAGUUUUCAGAGAUGAGAAUGUGCCUUCGGGAACCGUGAGACAGGUGCUGCAUGGCUGUCGUCAGCUCGUGUUGUGAAAUGUUGGGUUAAGUCCCGCAACGAGCGCAACCCUUAUCCUUUGUUGCCAGCGGUUAGGCCGGGAACUCAAAGGAGACUGCCAGUGAUAAACUGGAGGAAGGUGGGGAUGACGUCAAGUCAUCAUGGCCCUUACGACCAGGGCUACACACGUGCUACAAUGGCGCAUACAAAGAGAAGCGACCCCGCGAGGGCAAGCGGACCUCAUAAAGUGCGUCGUAGUCCGGAUUGGAGUCUGCAACUCGACUCCAUGAAGUCGGAAUCGCUAGUAAUCGUAGAUCAGAAUGCUACGGUGAAUACGUUCCCGGGUCUUGUACACACCG